Molecule: ribosomal RNA, 253 nt
Filed under: uncultured bacterium
Lineage: Bacteria
Description: partial 16S ribosomal RNA
Rfam family: Bacterial small subunit ribosomal RNA
Source: RNAcentral
UACGUAGGGUGCAAGCGUUAAUCGGAAUUACUGGGCGUAAAGCGUGCGCAGGCGGCUUUGCAAGACAGAUGUGAAAUCCCCGGGCUUAACCGGGGAACUGCGUCUGAUACUGGAUGGCUUGAGAUUGGGAGAGGGAUGCGGAAUUCCAGGUGUAGCGGUGAAAUGCGUAGAUAUCUGGAGGAACACCGGUGGCGAAGGCGGCAUCCUGGACCAACACUGACGCUGAGGAGCGAAAGCCAGGGGAGCAAACGGG